RNAcentral lists this ribosomal RNA (497 nucleotides) under uncultured bacterium. RNAcentral describes it as "partial 16S ribosomal RNA". It matches the Rfam family "Bacterial small subunit ribosomal RNA", at positions 28 to 507 of the family's 1533-position model. The record is from RNAcentral.
GAUGAACGCUGGCGGCGUGCCUAAUACAUGCAAGUCGAGCGAACAGACGAGGAGCUUGCUCCUUCGACGUUAGCGGCGGACGGGUGAGUAACACGUAGGUAACCUACCUAUAAGACUGGGAUAACUUCGGGAAACCGGAGCUAAUACCGGAUAAUAUUUCGAACCGCAUGGUUCGAUAGUGAAAGAUGGCUUUGCUAUCACUUAUAGAUGGACCUGCGCCGUAUUAGCUAGUUGGUAAGGUAACGGCUUACCAAGGCAACGAUACGUAGCCGACCUGAGAGGGUGAUCGGCCACACUGGAACUGAGACACGGUCCAGACUCCUACGGGAGGCAGCAGUAGGGAAUCUUCCGCAAUGGGCGAAAGCCUGACGGAGCAACGCCGCGUGAGUGAUGAAGGUCUUCGGAUCGUAAAACUCUGUUAUUAGGGAAGAACAAACGUGUAAAUAACUGUGCACGUCUUGACGGUACCUAAUCAGAAAGCCACGGCUAACUACGUG